Molecule: unclassified non-coding RNA, 232 nt
Filed under: rhizosphere metagenome
Description: partial ribosomal RNA internal transcribed spacer region
Source: RNAcentral
GUAGGUGAACCUGCGGAAGGAUCAUUAUUGAAAUAAACCUGAUGGGUUGUUGCUGGUUCUCUAGGGAGCAUGUGCACGCCUUGUCAUCUUUAUAUCUCCACCUGUGCACCUUUUGUAGACCUUGGAUAUUUUUCCAUGGUCUAUGUUGCUUCAUUUACCCCCAAUGUAUGUUAAUAGAAUGUUUGUGCCUAUAAAAUUUAUACAACUUUCAGCAACGGAUCUCUUGGCUCUC